RNAcentral lists this long non-coding RNA (213 nucleotides) under Brassica napus (rape). Its description in RNAcentral is "long non-coding RNA (BNAP_LNC024863)". The record is from RNAcentral. Lineage: Eukaryota; Viridiplantae; Streptophyta; Magnoliopsida; Brassicales; Brassicaceae.
AAUCGCAUUGAUCACAUCCAACCAAACCGAGAAGACGUUUAUCCAACCCAUUCAUCACACAAGACUUUUCAUAUUACACAAGGUUGUAUUUAUUACCCAAGACAACCAAAAUCUCAUUUCUAUCUAACCACCUAAACCUCUAUUUAUUACCUAACCAAACGCUAACCCACCAUUCAAUUCAUUUCAAACGAGGAUAACCACCAACAUCAAACA